AGAGGAAGGUGGGGAUGACGUCAAAUCAGCACGGCCCUUAUGUCCAGGGCUACACACGUGUUACAAUGGCCGGUACAAAGGGCAGCUACUUCGCGAGAAGAUGCUAAUCUCGAAAGCCGGUCUCAGUUCGGAUCGAAGUCUGCAACCCGACUUCGUGAAGCUGGAUUCGCUAGUAAUCGCGCAUCAGCCAUGGCGCGGUGAAUACGUUCCCGGGCCUU
Molecule: ribosomal RNA, 218 nt
Filed under: uncultured Sphingobacteriales bacterium
Lineage: Bacteria; Pseudomonadati; Bacteroidota; Sphingobacteriia; Sphingobacteriales
Description: partial 16S ribosomal RNA
Rfam family: Bacterial small subunit ribosomal RNA
Source: RNAcentral